CCUACGGGAGGCAGCAGUGGGGAAUUUUGGACAAUGGACGAAAGUCUGAUCCAGCAAUGCCGCGUGCAGGACGAAGGCCUUCGGGUUGUAAACUGCUUUUGUACGGAACGAAAAAGUCUGCCUUAAUACGGUGGGCUCAUGACGGUACCGUAAGAAUAAGCACCGGCUAACUACGUGCCAGCAGCCGCGGUAAUACGUAGGGUGCGAGCGUUAAUCGGAAUUACUGGGCGUAAAGCGUGCGCAGGCGGUUAUAUAAGUCAGAUGUGAAAUCCCCGGGCUUAACCUGGGACCUGCAUUUGAGACUGUAUAGCUAGAGUACGGUAGAGGGGGAUGGAAUUCCGCGUGUAGCAGUGAAAUGCGUAGAUAUGCGGAGGAACACCGAUGGCGAAGGCAAUCCCCUGGACCUGUACUGACGCUCAUGCACGAAAGCGUGGGGAGCAAACAGGAUUAGAUACCCUGGUAGUCCACGCCCUAAACGAUGUCAACUGGUUGUUGGGUCUUCACUGACUCAGUAACGAAGCUAACGCGUGAAGUUGACCGCCUGGGGAGUACGGCCGCAAGGUUGAAACUCAAAGUAGAGNGNGNGNGAGAGCGACGACGACGACGACGGAGGAGGAGG
This 619-nucleotide ribosomal RNA is filed under the name uncultured bacterium. RNAcentral describes it as "bacterial SSU rRNA". It matches the Rfam family "Bacterial small subunit ribosomal RNA", at positions 338 to 944 of the family's 1533-position model. The record is from RNAcentral.